AGCUUGGAGGGUAAUUACAUCAAAUGAUAAGUCUUAUACAAAUCAAACCCAAUUCAUAAAUAGGCUCAACCCAAAGAGCCUUCUAAUCCAUUAGCUAACCCUAACCCUAAUAUUCAAGAGAUCUAAGUAGAACCUCUCAUCUUUGCAAUGUCGCCACCGUCCACAUCAAUUGCGAGGGAUCGUUGGAGAUCAAAAAUCAAAGUUUCUAUUGUCAAAACUUUGCAAUCUUGGGCUAGAACCCUCCAAAGACAAGAUCAAAACCCACAACCUAAGAUUAAAUCACCAUCUCCAACAAGAAACUUUAGGCUCAAAACCACCAACAAUAAAGGAUAGAAGAAGGCUGAGGUUAUGGCAUCUCAAUCUUCUCUAGCCAUGGAAAACCAGCAAAGACGUGUGAAUGCUGGCUCUAAUCCUUAAAGAUGCCUUCCUUGGAACCCACUCCUGAGUUGCUCCCUUCUUAAACCACCAAAACAUAACACCAUCGGUGCCAAGAACAAGCAAAGCCAUAAAACAUGGAUCCAUCAUCUCGAAAACCAACAUGUAGGGAGACUGAAAAUCCCUCUCCAGUUCCAAAUCGCUCCACCUACAACUUAACAAAACCAAGCAUAAAACCGUACACAACCUCACGCAGGGUUGAAAAAGGAGGCCUAUGCUUCAGAGAAAAGGAGAAGCCUUCCCUACCAUAGAGAGUAGGGAACGGCUAAAAAUCGCUGCGAGUCUGAGUACCUGAGAUUGAAAACCUUUAAAGAGGAAAAAAAACUUUCUCUAGAAAGACUAGAGAGAGUAAUCUUACUCUCAUAUGUAUAUGCAUAUUCUCACAGUAAAAUGAAUUAUUAAACUUAAAAUCAAGAUUAAAUAAUAAUAAUUAAAAUUUUUAAAUCGAAUAAUAAUUAUGAAUUUUAAUUCAAUAAUGUUGAAA
Molecule: unclassified non-coding RNA, 919 nt
Filed under: Hevea brasiliensis (rubber tree)
Lineage: Eukaryota; Viridiplantae; Streptophyta; Magnoliopsida; Malpighiales; Euphorbiaceae
Source: RNAcentral